UACGUAGGGAGCAAGCGUUGUCCGGAAUCAUUGGGCGUAAAGCGCGCGUAGGUGGCCCGGUAAGUCCGCUCUGAAAGUCACAGGCUCAACCUGUGAAAGCGGGUGGAUACUGCCGGGCUAGAGUCCGGAAGAGGCGAGUGGAAUUCCUGGUGUAGCGGUGAAAUGCGCAGAUAUCAGGAGGAACACCGAUGGCGAAGGCAGGUCUCUGGGCAUUAACUGACGCUGAGGAGCGAAAGCAUGGGGAGCGAACAGG
RNAcentral lists this ribosomal RNA (253 nucleotides) under uncultured bacterium. Its description in RNAcentral is "partial 16S ribosomal RNA". It matches the Rfam family "Bacterial small subunit ribosomal RNA", at positions 524 to 776 of the family's 1533-position model. The record is from RNAcentral.